GAUGAACGCUGGCGGCGUGCCUAAUACAUGCAAGUCGAGCGAAUGGAUUAAGAGCUUGCUCUUAUGAAGUUAGCGGCGGACGGGUGAGUAACACGUGGGUAACCUGCCCAUAAGACUAGGAUAACUCCGGGAAACCGGGGCUAAUACCGGAUAAUAUUUUGAACUGCAUGGUUCAAAAUUGAAAGGCGGCUUCGGCUGGCACUUAUGGAUGGACCCGCGUCGCAUUAGCUAGUUGGUGAGGUAACGGCUCACCAAGGCAACGAUGCGUAGCCGACCUGAGAGGGUGAUCGGCCUCACUGGGACUGAGACACGGCCCAGACUCCUACGGGAGGCAGCAGUAGGGAAUCUUCCGCAAUGGACGAAAGUCUGACGGAGCAACGCCGCGUGAGUGAUGAAGGCUUUCGGGUCGUAAAACUCUGUUGUUAGGGGAGAACAAGUGCUAGUUGAAUAAGCUGGCACCUUGACGGUACCUAACCAGAAAGCCACGGCUAACUACGUGCCAGCCGCCGCAGUAA
Molecule: ribosomal RNA, 515 nt
Filed under: uncultured bacterium
Lineage: Bacteria
Description: partial 16S ribosomal RNA
Rfam family: Bacterial small subunit ribosomal RNA
Source: RNAcentral